This 216-nucleotide long non-coding RNA is filed under the name Olea europaea (common olive). Its description in RNAcentral is "long non-coding RNA (OEUR_LNC011614)". The record is from RNAcentral. Lineage: Eukaryota; Viridiplantae; Streptophyta; Magnoliopsida; Lamiales; Oleaceae.
UAUAGUAACAUGCUCUUGAUCCCAUGCAAGAUCAAAAUAGUAUAGUUUUCAUAUAUAAUAUAUGCACAUGAAACACAAAGCACCCCUUUAUAUUAUUGUUACAGACACAUCCUCUUUAUAGAUCUCUAGCCUCCCCCGUUGUCAAAGUAGAAGAAGAAAAAGAAAGAACCAUAUCUACAGAGAAAAUUCCCGACGGACGGUGCCAGUUUGAUGGAA